AACGAACGCUGGCGGCAUGCCUAACACAUGCAAGUCGAACGAGACCUUCGGGUCUAGUGGCGCACGGGUGCGUAACGCGUGGGAACCUGCCCUUAGGUUCGGAAUAACUCCCCGAAAGGGGUGCUAAUACCGGAUAAUGUCUUCGGACCAAAGAUUUAUCGCCUUUGGAUGGGCCCGCGUUGGAUUAGCUAGUUGGUAGGGUAAAAGCCUACCAAGGCGACGAUCCAUAGCUGGUCUGAGAGGAUGAUCAGCCACACUGGGACUGAGACACGGCCCAGACUGGGCGGGGAGGCGGGAGGGGUGAGUGUCACACGACGGGCGAACGCCGGAGCCAGCGAUGGCGCGGGUGUGAGGAUGUGUUGAGUGUUGUAAACUUCUUGCACCGGGAAUGAAAACGACAGUAGCGGGAGAAUACGCUCCGGCUACCGCCGACGCAGCCACGGCGGGAUUAGAUAGACGAGAACACCUCUAAC
RNAcentral lists this ribosomal RNA (473 nucleotides) under uncultured bacterium. RNAcentral's name for it is "partial 16S ribosomal RNA". It matches the Rfam family "Bacterial small subunit ribosomal RNA", at positions 36 to 538 of the family's 1533-position model. The record is from RNAcentral.